RNAcentral lists this ribosomal RNA (372 nucleotides) under uncultured prokaryote. Its description in RNAcentral is "partial 16S ribosomal RNA". The record is from RNAcentral.
CCCUAUGGGGUGCCGCAGGCGCGGGAAGUCCUGGCAACGGUGGGACAGGAACAGGCCGUGAUACAGGCUUACAGCGACAGGGGAAUGAUCAUCCGGCUCAAAGCGGGUGACGAGAAGGUCGGUGCGCAGGCCAGGGAGGCGCUGAGGGAGAAGUUCAACGGCCUCCAGGUUCUGAGGCUGGAAAAAGUGGGGCCUGUCGUCGGAAGCGAACUGAAGCGCCAGGCGUUGAUCGCCCUCUUCCUGUCGCUGAUCGGGAUACUGGUCUACGUCGGGGUCCGCUUCAAGUUCCGCUUCGCAGCCGUGAGCGUCAUUGCACUGGCCCAUGACGCGAUCAUCACCACCGGGGCAUUGGCGCUCACUGGGCGGGAGGGC